AAAUUGAAGAGUUUGAUCAUGGCUCAGAUUGAACGCUGGCGGCAGGCCUAACACAUGCAAGUCGAACGGUAACAGGAAGCAGCUUGCUGCUUCGCUGACGAGUGGCGGACGGGUGAGUAAUGUCUGGGAAACUGCCUGAUGGAGGGGGAUAACUACUGGAAACGGUAGCUAAUACCGCAUAACGUCGCAGGACCAAAGAGGGGGACCUUCGGGCCUCUUGCCAUCAGAUGUGCCCAGAUGGGAUUAGCUUGUUGGUGAGGUAACGGCUCACCAAGGCGACGAUCCCUAGCUGGUCUGAGAGGAUGACCAGCCACACUGGAACUGAGACACGGUCCAGACUCCUACGGGAGGCAGCAGUGGGGAAUAUUGCACAAUGGGCGCAAGCCUGAUGCAGCCAUGCCGCGUGUAUGAAGAAGGCCUUCGGGUUGUAAAGUACUUUCAGCGGGGAGGAAGGGGAUAAGGCUAAUAACCUUGUUCAUUGACGUUACCCGCAGAAGAAGCACCGGCUAACUCCGUGCCAGCAGCCGCGGUAAUACGGAGGGUGCAAGCGUUAAUCGGAAUUACUGGGCGUAAAGCGCACGCAGGCGGUCUGUCAAGUCGGAUGUGAAAUCCCCGGGCUCAACCUGGGAACUGCAUUCGAAACUGGCAGGCUUGAGUCUUGUAGAGGGGGGUAGAAUUCCAGGUGUAGCGGUGAAAUGCGUAGAGAUCUGGAGGAAUACCGGUGGCGAAGGCGGCCCCCUGGACAAAGACUGACGCUCAGGUGCGAAAGCGUGGGGAGCAAACAGGAUUAGAUACCCUGGUAGUCCACGCCGUAAACGAUGUCUACUUGGAGGUUGUGCCCUUGAGGCGUGGCUUCCGGAGCUAACGCGUUAAGUAGACCGCCUGGGGAGUACGGCCGCAAGGUUAAAACUCAAAUGAAUUGACGGGGGCCCGCACAAGCGGUGGAGCAUGUGGUUUAAUUCGAUGCAACGCGAAGAACCUUACCUGGUCUUGACAUCCACAGAACUUUCCAGAGAUGGAUUGGUGCCUUCGGGAACUGUGAGACAGGUGCUGCAUGGCUGUCGUCAGCUCGUGUUGUGAAAUGUUGGGUUAAGUCCCGCAACGAGCGCAACCCUUAUCCUUUGUUGCCAGCGGUCCGGCCGGGAACUCAAAGGAGACUGCCAGUGAUAAACUGGAGGAAGGUGGGGAUGACGUCAAGUCAUCAUGGCCCUUACGACCAGGGCUACACACGUGCUACAAUGGCGCAUACAAAGAGAAGCGACCUCGCGAGAGCAAGCGGACCUCAUAAAGUGCGUCGUAGUCCGGACUGGAGUCUGCAACUCGACUCCAUGAAGUCGGAAUCGCUAGUAAUCGUGGAUCAGAAUGCCACGGUGAAUACGUUCCCGGGCCUUGUACACACCGCCCGUCACACCAUGGGAGUGGGUUGCAAAAGAAGUAGGUAGCUUAACCUUCGGGAGGGCGCUUACCACUUUGUGAUUCAUGACUGGGGUGAAGUCGUAACAAGGUAACCGUAGGGGAACCUGCGGUUGGAUCACCUCCUUA
This 1542-nucleotide ribosomal RNA is filed under the name Salmonella enterica subsp. arizonae. RNAcentral's name for it is "bacterial SSU rRNA". It matches the Rfam family "Bacterial small subunit ribosomal RNA". Lineage: Bacteria; Pseudomonadati; Pseudomonadota; Gammaproteobacteria; Enterobacterales; Enterobacteriaceae. The record is from RNAcentral.